Molecule: ribosomal RNA, 425 nt
Filed under: uncultured bacterium
Lineage: Bacteria
Description: bacterial SSU rRNA
Rfam family: Bacterial small subunit ribosomal RNA
Source: RNAcentral
UUAGGGAAUUUCCACACUGGGCGCAAGCCUGAUGGAGUGACGCCGCGUGCAGGAGGAAGGCCUUCGGGUCGUAAACUGCUUUUAGAGGGGACAAAUACUGAUGGUACCCUCUGAAUAAGCCCCGGCUAACUACGUGCCAGCAGCCGCGGUAAUACGUAGGGGGCGAGCGUUGUCCGGAAUUACUGGGCGUAAAGCGCGCGUAGGCGGCGCGGCGCAUCUGCAGUGAAAGCCCUCGGCUCAACCGAGGGAGGUCUGUGGAGAUGGCCGGGCUGGAGGGCAGCAGAGGCAGGUGGAAGUCCCGGAGGAGUGGUGACAUACGUAGAUACCGGGAGGAACACCCGAGGCGAAGGCGGCCUGCUGGGCUGCGCCUGACGCUGAGGCGCGAAAGCUAGGGGAGCGAACGGAAUUAGAUACCCCCGUAGUCC